CAAGGUACUCCCGGUUGAUUGCACCGCCCAUUGCGGAGGACCUGUGCCGUCCUCUUCGUCCGCAAGGACAGAUGGCCUCCAUCCGCUCAUCACAUUCCUCUUAUUUCUCUUUAUAUAUUGCUUCUUCAUCU
Molecule: non-coding RNA, 131 nt
Organism: Caenorhabditis elegans
Lineage: Eukaryota; Metazoa; Nematoda; Chromadorea; Rhabditida; Rhabditidae
Source: Ensembl